UGUGUGUUAGUGGAAGCGUCUGGAAAGGCGCGCGAUACAGGGUGACAGCCCCGUACACAAAAAUGCACAUGCUGUGAGCUCGAUGAGUAGGGCGGGACACGUGGUAUCCUGUCUGAAUAUGGGGGGACCAUCCUCCAAGGCUAAAUACUCCUGACUGACCGAUAGUGAACCAGUACCGUGAGGGAAAGGCGAAAAGAACCCCGGCGAGGGGAGUGAAAAAGAACCUGAAACCGUGUACGUACAAGCAGUGGGAGCACGCUUAGGCGUGUGACUGCGUACCUUUUGUAUAAUGGGUCAGCGACUUAUAUUCUGUAGCAAGGUUAACCGAAUAGGGGAGCCGAAGGGAAACCGAGUCUUAACUGGGCGUUAAGUUGCAGGGUAUAGACCCGAAACCCGGUGAUCUAGCCAUGGGCAGGUUGAAGGUUGGGUAACACUAACUGGAGGACCGAACCGACUAAUGUUGAAAAAUUAGCGGAUGACUUGUGGCUGGGGGUGAAAGGCCAAUCAAACCGGGAGAUAGCUGGUUCUCCCCGAAAGCUAUUUAGGUAGCGCCUCGUGAAUUCAUCUCCGGGGGUAGAGCACUGUUUCGGCAAGGGGGUCAUCCCGACUUACCAACCCGAUGCAAACUGCGAAUACCGGAGAAUGUUAUCACGGGAGACACACGGCGGGUGCUAACGUCCGUCGUGAAGAGGGAAACAACCCAGACCGCCAGCUAAGGUCCCAAAGUCAUGGUUAAGUGGGAAACGAUGUGGGAAGGCCCAGACAGCCAGGAUGUUGGCUUAGAAGCAGCCAUCAUUUAAAGAAAGCGUAAUAGCUCACUGGUCGAGUCGGCCUGCGCGGAAGAUGUAACGGGGCUAAACCAUGCACCGAAGCUGCGGCAGCGACACUAUGUGUUGUUGGGUAGGGGAGCGUUCUGUAAGCCUG
This 924-nucleotide ribosomal RNA is filed under the name Escherichia coli. RNAcentral describes it as "partial 23S ribosomal RNA". It matches the Rfam family "Bacterial large subunit ribosomal RNA", at positions 323 to 1251 of the family's 2925-position model. RNAcentral also lists the same sequence under 1 other name. Lineage: Bacteria; Pseudomonadati; Pseudomonadota; Gammaproteobacteria; Enterobacterales; Enterobacteriaceae. The record is from RNAcentral.